RNAcentral lists this unclassified non-coding RNA (318 nucleotides) under uncultured fungus. Its description in RNAcentral is "partial contains small subunit ribosomal RNA, internal transcribed spacer 1, and 5.8S ribosomal RNA". The stretch from base 1 to 73 matches the Rfam family "Eukaryotic small subunit ribosomal RNA", at positions 1759 to 1831 of the family's 1831-position model. Lineage: Eukaryota; Fungi. The record is from RNAcentral.
UCAAACUUGGUCAUUUAGAGGAAGUAAAAGUCGUAACAAGGUUUCCGUAGGUGAACCUGCGGAAGGAUCAUUAACGAGGAAUCGAGGUUGCCCAUUCGGGCGCCUCUCCACCCACCCGUGUUUACUGUAAUUUUGUUGCUUCGGCGGGCCCGCCUGAACCCCUUGGGGGAUGGCCGCCGGGCGCCUGUGCGCCAUGGCCCGUGUCCGCCGGAGGAUCUCUUGAACUCUUGUGAUUAAUGUAUUGUCUGAGUGAUAACUAAAUUAGUUAAAACUUUCAACAAAGGAUCUCUUGGUUCUGGCAUCGAUGAAGAACGCAGC